AGCGAACGCUGGCGGCAGGCCUAACACAUGCAAGUCGAACGAACCUUUCGGGGUUAGUGGCGGACGGGUGAGUAACACGUGGGAACGUGCCUUUAGGUUCGGAAUAACUCAGGGAAACUUGUGCUAAUACCGAAUGUGCCCUUCGGGGGAAAGAUUAAUCGCCUUUAGAGCGGCCUGCGUCUGAUUAGCUAGUUGGUUGAGGUAAUGGCUCACCAAGGCGACGAUCAGUAGCUGGUCUGAGAGGAUGAUCAGCCACAUUGGGACUGAGACACGGCCCAAACUCCUACGGGAGGCAGCAGUGGGGAAUCUUGCGCAAUGAGCGAAAGCCUGACGCAGCCAUGCCGCGUGAAUGAUGAAGGUCUUAGGAUUGUAAAAUUCUUUCACCGGGGACGAUAAUGACGGUACCCGGAGAAGAAGCCCCGGCUAACUUCGUG
Molecule: ribosomal RNA, 434 nt
Filed under: uncultured bacterium
Lineage: Bacteria
Description: partial 16S ribosomal RNA
Rfam family: Bacterial small subunit ribosomal RNA
Source: RNAcentral